UAUUGAAGGAAGUUCUUCGGAAUGGAAAUUGAUAUUCUAGCGGCGGACGGGUGAGUAACGCGUGAGCAAUCUGUCCCAGACAGGGGGAUAACAGAUGGAAACAUCUGCUAAUACCGCAUAAGACCACGGGAUCACAUGGUUCUGGGGUAAAAGAUUUAUCGGUUUGGGGUGGGCUCGCGUCCGAUUAGGUAGUUGGUGAGGUAACGGCCCACCAAGCCGACGAUCGGUAGCCGACCUGAGAGGGUGAUCGGCCACAUUGGGACUGAGACACGGCCCAAACUCC
RNAcentral lists this ribosomal RNA (283 nucleotides) under uncultured Eubacteriales bacterium. Its description in RNAcentral is "uncultured Clostridiales bacterium partial 16S ribosomal RNA". It matches the Rfam family "Bacterial small subunit ribosomal RNA", at positions 57 to 339 of the family's 1533-position model. The record is from RNAcentral. Lineage: Bacteria; Bacillati; Bacillota; Clostridia; Eubacteriales.